Non-coding RNA from Herpailurus yagouaroundi (jaguarundi), 1514 nucleotides. The record is from the annotation of a RefSeq genome assembly. Lineage: Eukaryota; Metazoa; Chordata; Mammalia; Carnivora; Felidae.
UGGUGACUGUUGACAACACAACUUCUCUGACCCAAGACUCUACACUCUUCAGAGUAGGGGUGAAGGCACAUCAGCGACCAGACAAGGAGUCAUGAAGAGACAGCGGGGAGCCCUGCUGGGGCUUCUGUGGGUGCAGGUUUGCUGGGUGAGAGGGAUGGACGUGGAGCAGACACCUGCAGCCCUGAGCCUCCAGGAGGGAGCCAGCUCUACCCUGAGGUGCAAUUUUUCCAGCUCGGUGAACAAUGUGCAGUGGUUCCGACAGAACCCUGGGGGCGGCGGCCUCACCCGACUGUUUUACAUAGUUUCAGGGAUGAAGCAGGAUGGGAGGUUGAACUGCACGGUGAACACUAAGGACCGGCACAGCAGCCUGCACAUCAGGGCCUCCCAGCAGGAAGACUCAGCCACCUAUCUGUGUGCUGUGGAGGCACAGUGCUCCCUGCUGCUCUGCAGCCUGUCCCCAAACUGCAGCUGGGCUCCCAGCCCAGGCUCCUCCACCAGGAAGCCUCCCUUGUGCAGCCGCAUUUGCACAGCGUGCUUGGGACCAUCUGGGGCUUUGAAGGCUCAAAGCUGGUGGCGAUUGGGAUCCUCCUUGAACCAUCUUUGGUCUCCCAGAAGAAAAGAAAACCCAAAGAGGAUCUUACCCUGAAGACUCUGUCUCUGCUUCUGAAGAGGCCCUAGCAUUGGUUAGGAGCAACCUCAGACCCACAAGAUCACAUGUGGUUGUGGAAACGGGCUUGGGGUUCCAUGAUUCAGGCAAUUUCUCCUCACACUCACAUCAGUCCAUACUGCUCACAGCCAGUCCUCAAAAGACUUGCUUUGUUAUAUAGUACAAAAGAAAUUUAGAACUGGAAGAGCCCUUAGAAGGGCUUAGUCCACUUCAUUUUACAAAACAAAGGCUGUACCCAAGAUGGUACCAUGGAACAAUUAGGUUGUCAGUGAGCUGGGAGAGAAAGAAACUGAGUUUCCUCACUUCCUCUUUGGCAUUCUCCCCACUGCCUCCUUGCUGCAGGGCCAUCCUGCUGGGUAAAGAGAUUGUGUCUAAUGCAAGCCCAGCCACUUAUAUCUCUGCAGUUUGGGUCUGGGAGAGCCAUGGUCCAAUCAGUUUGAUUGCCUGAAUGGAGAGUUGCAAUUUGUGUAAAUAUCUGACACUUUGGGCAGGAAAAAGAACUCAGGCUGAGCCACUGUUAUUCUACCUGCAAACUUACUUAUUCCUCACUGGUUUCUGGAGGUGAAAGCCAAGGAUGAUUGUGUCAACUGAACACCUCCAUGCAUUUCUAAGGACUUUCCUAAAAAUAGCAGAUAUAUUUAUAUCCCAGGUGGACAUCUCUUGAAGGCAAAAUGUGAAUAUAGAGCAUCACUAAUACAUUGUUAUGAAAUGUAAUCACUGCAUUGGGAGACUACGGGGGAAUAUCGUCCUCAUGCAGCUGGCCAUCCAUGAAUGUACUAGAAAAAGCCUUGCUAGGUCUACACUUUUUGAUGAUGAGUCAGGCAACAUUCAAUGAAAUAAUCACGGG